GGGUAGGUCCUGAGGGGAGCGAGGUUUCGGCCUUCGCUAAGGGGAGCGAAAUUCUCCCCCCUACUCU
RNAcentral lists this transfer RNA (67 nucleotides) under Argopecten irradians (bay scallop). Its description in RNAcentral is "tRNA-Arg". RNAcentral also lists the same sequence under 2 other names. The record is from RNAcentral. Lineage: Eukaryota; Metazoa; Mollusca; Bivalvia; Pectinida; Pectinidae.